AAGAGACAGCAGCAGCCGCGGUAACACAGAGGGUGCGAGCGUUAAUCGGAUUUACUGGGCGUAAAGCGUGCGUAGGCGGCUUCUUAAGUCGGAUGUGAAAUCCCUGAGCUUAACUUAGGAAUUGCAUUCGAUACUGGGAAGCUAGAGUAUGGGAGAGGAUGGUAGAAUUCCAGGUGUAGCGGUGAAAUGCGUAGAGAUCUGGAGGAAUACCGAUGGCGAAGGCAGCCAUCUGGCCUAAUACUGACGCUGAGGUACGAAAGCAUGGGGAGCAAACAGGAUUAGAGACCCGCGUAGUCCCUGUCUCUUAUAC
RNAcentral lists this ribosomal RNA (310 nucleotides) under uncultured bacterium. RNAcentral describes it as "partial 16S ribosomal RNA". It matches the Rfam family "Bacterial small subunit ribosomal RNA", at positions 503 to 807 of the family's 1533-position model. The record is from RNAcentral.